Molecule: long non-coding RNA, 364 nt
Organism: Rhagoletis zephyria (snowberry fruit fly)
Lineage: Eukaryota; Metazoa; Arthropoda; Insecta; Diptera; Tephritidae
Source: RefSeq, a predicted model, not a curated record
AAAAAAAUUACUUAAGUUAGAGCAGCGUAGCUAAUAAGAAUUCGUACUCUUAAUAAGAAUUCCAUGCGUUAGAGCGAGCAAGUGAAGGUCAGGCGAAAUUUGACAGCGAAUUUGAAGUUUGAUCAUAGUAGGCUGCGAAGAAAAGCGUCACUUUUGUGGAAAUUUUUGGAGCUUGGACACACACAGCACUUUUGGAGCACUUUUGGAGAAUCUUGACGCCAUCAGAACUUUCAACCCAUCAGCACCUUCCACGGCACCAAUAGUUUAAUAUUCAGCUACCAACAUUGUUCGGUGAGUUUUAUUCUUUAAAUAUAUAUUAAGAAACACGGUUGUUCAGCCGCGAAUAAAUAUGUACCUACUUGUG